Molecule: unclassified non-coding RNA, 377 nt
Filed under: uncultured bacterium
Lineage: Bacteria
Description: contains 16S-23S intergenic spacer region
Source: RNAcentral
UCCGGUUUGUCACCGGCGGUCUCCUUAGAGUGCCCAACUGAAUGCUGGCAACUAAGGACAAGGGUUGCGCUCGUUGCGGGACUUAACCCAACAUCUCACGACACGAGCUGACGACAGCCAUGCAGCACCUGUCUCCAGGUUCCUUACGGCACCCCCGCAUCUCUGCAGGGUUCCUGGGAUGUCAAGGGUAGGUAAGGUUUUUCGCGUUGCAUCGAAUUAAUCCACAUAAUCCACCGCUUGUGCGGGUCCCCGUCAAUUCCUUUGAGUUUUAACCUUGCGGCCGUACUCCCCAGGCGGGGCACUUAAUGCGUUAGCGCCGGCACGGGAGGAGUCGACACCUCCCACACCUAGUGCCCAUCGUUUACGGCGUGGACUAC